UACGAAGGGUGCAAGCGUUACUCGGAAUUACUGGGCGUAAAGCGUGCGUAGGUGGUUUGUUAAGUCUGUCGUGAAAGCCCCGGGCUCAACCUGGGAAUUGCGAUGGAUACUGGCUAACUAGAGUGUGGCAGAGGGUAGUGGAAUUCCUGGUGUAGCAGUGAAAUGCGUAGAGAUCAGGAGGAACAUCCGUGGCGAAGGCGACUGCCUGGGCCAACACUGACACUGAGGCACGAAAGCGUGGGGAGCAAACAGG
RNAcentral lists this ribosomal RNA (253 nucleotides) under uncultured Lysobacteraceae bacterium. Its description in RNAcentral is "uncultured Xanthomonadaceae bacterium partial 16S ribosomal RNA". It matches the Rfam family "Bacterial small subunit ribosomal RNA", at positions 524 to 776 of the family's 1533-position model. Lineage: Bacteria; Pseudomonadati; Pseudomonadota; Gammaproteobacteria; Lysobacterales; Lysobacteraceae. The record is from RNAcentral.